Molecule: ribosomal RNA, 502 nt
Filed under: uncultured Bacteroidota bacterium
Lineage: Bacteria; Pseudomonadati; Bacteroidota
Description: uncultured Bacteroidetes bacterium partial 16S ribosomal RNA
Source: RNAcentral
CACGGAGUUAGCCGAUGCUUUUUCUCCGGGUACUCUCAGCUGGGUCACACGUGACCCAGCUUGCUCCCCGGCAAAAGAGGUUUACAAUCCAUAGGACCGUCUUCCCUCACGCGACUUGGCUGGUUCAGGCUCGCGCCCAUUGACCAAUAUUCCUCACUCGCUGCCUCCCGUAGGAGUCUGGUCCGUGUCUCAGUACCAGUGUGGGGGACCUUCCUCUCAGAACCCCUACGCAUCGUCGCCUCGGUGGGCCGUUACCCCGCCGACUAGCUAAUGCGCCGCAUGCCCAUCCCUGGCCGGAAUCGCUUCCUUUGAUCCUAACGGGAUGUCCCGUAAGGAUGUUACGCGGUAUUAGACCGGAUUUCUCCGGCUUAUCCCCCAGCCAGGGGCAGGUUGCAUACGUGUUAACUCACCCGUGCGCCGGUCGCCGGCGGAUGAAGCAAGCUUCAUCCCCGCCUGCCCCUCGUACUUGCAUGUGUUAACGUCCUGUCGCUAGCGUUCAUCC